GGUUCGAUGGCGUAGUUGGUUAUCGCAUCUGUCUAACAUGACCCAUAACCGGUAAUCUGCACAGAAGGUCCCCAGUUCGAGCCUGGGUCGAAUCA
Molecule: non-coding RNA, 95 nt
Organism: Marasmius tenuissimus
Lineage: Eukaryota; Fungi; Basidiomycota; Agaricomycetes; Agaricales; Marasmiaceae
Source: the annotation of a GenBank genome assembly